AGUGAACGCUGGCGGUAUGCCUAAUACAUGCAAGUCGAGCGAACGGACAGUAAGCUUUCGCCUCUACUGUUGGCGACUGACGGACGGGUAACGCAUACAUAGCCUACUUCUUAUACGUGGAUAACUACGUAAGAAAACAGCUACUACUACCGCAUAUGAUGUACCGCAUGAUGCAAGAGAUAAUCACACUCUUGCCGUCUGAAUUAGCCGGUGUCGGAUUAGCUAGUUGGCGAGGUAAAGGCCCACCAAGGCGACGAUACGUAGCAGGCCUGAGAGGAUGAUCAGCCACACUGGAACUGAGACACGGUCCAGACUCCUACGGGAGGCAGCAGUAGGGAAUAUUGGGCAAUGGGCGCAAGCCUGACGGAGCCACGCCGCGUGGGUGAAGAAGGUCUUCGGGUCGUAAAACCCUGUUGUUAGGGAAGAACAUAUGCGGAUGUAACUGCGCCUGUCUUGACGGUACCUAAUCAGAAAGCCCCGGCUAACUUCGUG
This 492-nucleotide ribosomal RNA is filed under the name uncultured bacterium. Its description in RNAcentral is "partial 16S ribosomal RNA". It matches the Rfam family "Bacterial small subunit ribosomal RNA", at positions 29 to 507 of the family's 1533-position model. The record is from RNAcentral.